UAUCCUGGCUCAGGAUGAACGCUAGCGGCAGCCUAAUACAUGCAAGUCGAACGGGGAUUGGGGAGCUUGCUCCCAUGAGAGUGGCGUACGGGUGCGUAACGCGUAUGCAACCUACCUUCAUCAGGGGGAUAGCCCGAAGAAAUUCGGAUUAACACCGCAUAAAACACAGGAUAGCAUUAUCCAAUGUUCAAAUAUUUAUAGGAUGAAGAUGGGCAUGCGUGUCAUUAGCUAGUUGGUAAGGUAACGGCUUACCAAGGCGACGAUGACUAGGGGAUCUGAGAGGAUGACCCCCCACACUGGUACUGAGACACGGACCAGACUCCUACGGGAGGCAGCAGUAAGGAAUAUUGGUCAAUGGAGGCAACUCUGAACCAGCCAUGCCGCGUGCAGGAAGACAGCCCUAUGGGUCGUAAACUGCUUUUAUGUCGGAAUAAACCUAUUUACGUGUAAGUAGCUGAAUGUACGGCAAGAAUAAGGAUCGGCUAACUCCGUG
Molecule: ribosomal RNA, 493 nt
Filed under: uncultured Pedobacter sp.
Lineage: Bacteria; Pseudomonadati; Bacteroidota; Sphingobacteriia; Sphingobacteriales; Sphingobacteriaceae
Description: bacterial SSU rRNA
Rfam family: Bacterial small subunit ribosomal RNA
Source: RNAcentral